This 1017-nucleotide long non-coding RNA is filed under the name Bos taurus (domestic cattle). RNAcentral describes it as "long non-coding RNA NONBTAT019071". Lineage: Eukaryota; Metazoa; Chordata; Mammalia; Artiodactyla; Bovidae. The record is from RNAcentral.
CUUGGCUGCUCAUAGAAGCCAACAGCUGGUUUGAUACACCCUGAGCCUUGUUACCUCAAAUCUGCUCUUGGGGAAGUGGAUUCACUCUGAGGAAUGGGCGGUUUCUCAGCCUGUAUGACCGCAGGUCAGACCCUGGUCAUGGGAAGUGGAAGCGGUGACUGCCUCCCUGGGACAGUGUCUCCUGUGAGCUGCAUCUCCAAACUUGAUUUCCAUACCCUCCACUGCAGGAAGGGCAUUGGCUCCUCAGAGGUGACUGAAAGGCACCACUUAGACGUUCAUUCCACAGACUCAGCAGACAGCUUUCUUACAGCCUGAAGGAGUGUAAGGUGACUGGGGUCCUCCUGUGCUGGAAAAUGUAGCAGCAGGGACCCCUGGGUUCUCCCUGCCUGGUCCUGUUCUGGGGCCCACAGUGCAGAUGGCUUCAGCCUGCAGAGAAGACUUUAUUUUUGGUCAGUCUGUGGAGAAGAGUAAUGCCUUUUGGGACCACGAGGUUUUGAAGUAUGAAUGUGGUGACAUCUGGAAGGGGUAUGGGUGGCAGAUGGUCUCAAGCCACCCAGGCUGCCUUGGGUCUCUGUAGCCCAGCCUUGGGGCCCAGGCCUGCGUCUCCAUUCACUCUGUUCCACCUGCAUGUUGACACUGAGGCCCAUGUCCACCCACUGCUGCCUUUUCUGGCCUCUUGGUCCACCACUCAGCAUGGGCGAUCACGCGCACGUGCGGGCUCACAGUAAGCUGCCUCCGCCCACCGCCAGCACGGUGUGCACACCCAGAGGCACGCUGUCCCUUUUAAGGGCGUUUUCCAGUUGAGCUGUGUCUGCCAAGCGGCCUGGAAGUCUUUCUCUGAAUGGGCUCAGAAUGAAUCAUGUGGAACAUCCCCUGACCUCAGUUUUGAGCCCAUCCUCCCCUCUGGACGUGCCUUCGCCUCCCGCUCUUAGCAGCAGGUGCCCAUCUUACGCCCCUGCUGCCGUCUGUCACAAGUGGUUAGUGCCGCCCGUAGUGGGAGGUUAGGAAGGCUUUGCA